CGGGGGAGGCCGGAUCCUGGGCUGUGUCCCGGCGCCCUGUGCUCCGGCUCCUGCGCUGUUGGAUUUGCGCUCCCGCCCCGCAGCCCCCU
Non-coding RNA from Canis lupus familiaris (dog), 89 nucleotides. Lineage: Eukaryota; Metazoa; Chordata; Mammalia; Carnivora; Canidae. The record is from Rfam.